GACGAACGCUGGCGGCGUGCUUAACACAUGCAAGUCGAACGGAAAGGCCCUGCUUUUGUGGGGUGCUCGAGUGGCGAACGGGUGAGUAACACGUGAGUAACCUGCCCUUGACUUUGGGAUAACUUCAGGAAACUGGGGCUAAUACCGGAUAGGAGCUCCUGCUGCAUGGUGGGGGUUGGAAAGUUUCGGCGGUUGGGGAUGGACUCGCGGCUUAUCAGCUUGUUGGUGGGGUAGUGGCUUACCAAGGCUUUGACGGGUAGCCGGCCUGAGAGGGUGACCGGCCACAUUGUGACUGAGAUACGGCCCAGACUCCUACGGGAGGCAGCAGUGGGGGAUAUUGCACGAUGGGCGGAAGCCUGAUGCAGCAAAGCCGCGUGCGGGAUGACGGCCUUCGGGUUGUAAACCGCUUUCGCCUGUGACGAAGCGUGAGUGACGGUAAUGGGUAAAGAAGCACCGGCUAACUACGUG
Molecule: ribosomal RNA, 468 nt
Filed under: uncultured bacterium
Lineage: Bacteria
Description: partial 16S ribosomal RNA
Rfam family: Bacterial small subunit ribosomal RNA
Source: RNAcentral